Schizosaccharomyces pombe (fission yeast) is the source of this 605-nucleotide non-coding RNA. The record is from the annotation of a GenBank genome assembly. NCBI's taxonomy places the organism in Eukaryota, Fungi, Ascomycota, Schizosaccharomycetes, Schizosaccharomycetales, Schizosaccharomycetaceae.
AUGAAAUAAUUCUCGUCAAAAAUGUGACAAACCACAACAAUCCUUGAUAUAGCUUUCAGUUAAGGCAAUUUCUGAUAUUCAUCAGGAAUAUCUUUAUCAGAGGGAGAACCCUGUAUAUGGUAGAUAAAUUUGAAUUCAUUUGUUUGGCAGACUUAUAAUUGAGAAUUUCUUCGGAUCUUUGAGCUGAGACUUUCAAUUCGUUUACUUCCGAUUCGACUUUCCAAAUUCUAGCAUCAGUAUCUGGUUAUUGGCUCUAAUAACGUUACUAAUGCACUCAAAUGUUCCAUUCAAAUAAACCAUAUUUUUUUUGAGAACAUUUUGACCAUGGCUAAGAUGAUUCAGAUCUUCUCUGAGGCUACUUUGACCAUCUUUAAGCUCUUGAAGCAUUUCGUAAGUUUGAAAUAUACUAUCUUUUUUACUUAUGCUUUCCCGAACUUCACAUGCAAGAAUUUCUAGGAUUUGCCAAUUGUUCUUUAAAUGCUUCAAAUUCGUCUUCUGGAAUGGCUACUUCUAAAUCAUACACGAAAUCGUGUAAUGCAACAUAAGGAUUGUCAGAUGGAAGAGGAACUCCAAAUUGAUUAGUAAAUAUGGCUUUAUCGAUCUUC